RNAcentral lists this ribosomal RNA (497 nucleotides) under uncultured bacterium. RNAcentral's name for it is "partial 16S ribosomal RNA". It matches the Rfam family "Bacterial small subunit ribosomal RNA", at positions 28 to 507 of the family's 1533-position model. The record is from RNAcentral.
GAUGAACGCUGGCGGCGUGCCUAAUACAUGCAAGUCGAGCGAACAGACGAGGAGCUUGCUCCUCUGACGUUAGCGGCGGACGGGUGAGUAACACGUGGAUAACCUACCUAUAAGACUGGGAUAACUUCGGGAAACCGGAGCUAAUACCGGAUAAUAUUUUGAACCGCAUGGUUCAAUAGUGAAAGACGGUUUUGCUGUCACUUAUAGAUGGAUCCGCGCCGCAUUAGCUAGUUGGUAAGGUAACGGCUUACCAAGGCAACGAUGCGUAGCCGACCUGAGAGGGUGAUCGGUCACACUGGAACUGAGACACGGUCCAGACUCCUACGGGAGGCAGCAGUAGGGAAUCUUCCGCAAUGGGCGAAAGCCUGACGGAGCAACGCCGCGUGAGUGAUGAAGGUCUUCGGAUCGUAAAACUCUGUUAUUAGGGAAGAACAAAUGUGUAAGUAACUAUGCACGUCUUGACGGUACCUAAUCAGAAAGCCACGGCUAACUACGUG